This is a long non-coding RNA of Homo sapiens (human), 5133 nucleotides long. RefSeq lists it as uncharacterized. The record is from RefSeq and is a predicted model, not a curated record. The transcript is spliced from 3 exons. Lineage: Eukaryota; Metazoa; Chordata; Mammalia; Primates; Hominidae.
CACCAGGACAGGCUUCAGAAAAAUGGAAAAUUGAUCUAACAAGGAAGAAGUAUUAUGAAGCAAUGUUAAAAAGAAAUUGGUAAUAAUUGCCAACAGAGAAAACCCUUCAAAGAGAGUUGCUGCUUUUCCUAAGGGUUUCCAAGGAUCCAAAAACCUUCGGAAGUUCCAAGGAUCAAGUCCCAGGAUCUAAGCUGGACCUUUCCUGGAACAAAUUCCUUCAGACAAAUUCUCCACCAGACCAUCAACUCAGGAGGGCAAACAAGGAACUUGUUUUCAAGAGCUGGAGCCAAACCACCCAGAGUUUCCUGUGCCAGGUGAGCAUGAAGAGGGGCCGAAGUCACCCAUUACUAACCCCUCACCCAUGACUGCCUGAAAGGUAUGUCUCAGGCUUUAACCAUGAAACCUGUUUCCUCUCUCCCCUCCAAAGUCCAGCCCAGAGAGGCAUGAUAAAAUCACUUAGCAAAUGGAAAAUAUUUUGUGCUUAUUCUAAGAAAUGUGAUCCAUCAAAAAUGAGCUGACAAGUCAUUUCAUUUCCAAGGACAGUGUCCACAUACUCCAGGCAGCCUCUGGACCUGGAAUAAGACACAUCUAAGCCACAGGCCAGUAAGGACCAUACAGCUAUAACGUUAUGAGUGAUUCUGUAGCAUGGUUUUAAGGCACCAGCUGCACAGUCAGACUGCCUGGUUUCAGCCCAGCUCCCUCAUUUGCUAGCUGUGAAAACUGGGUGAAUUGCUUAAGCAACCCUUAAUGACAUUUUGUUGUUUUAAAAACGGCAAUAAUAAUAAUACUCCCUUCUUCAUAUGAUUGUUUUGAGAUUUGGAUAAGGCAAUAGGUGCUUUAUUCGAUAAGGACCCUAGAACAUACAAAUCUAUUUUAAAAAUGCUAUUAAUAUGGUUUUGCCCUAAAAAGGCAGGUUCUUCUGUUUCUCAAAUCUGACAAAGUUUUGUCAGACUCUUGAAUUCUCAUUAAUAGUUCCAACACAGACUAUUAAUGCUGUUAGUUUUGACCAAAUACAUGACUCAUGAAUUAACUAACUCUUACUUGGUAAUCUGAAGGAAUCAAUAAAAUCCACACUUAAUUCCCCCUAAAUCAACUGAACAACUAUGGACUAUGGAAUUGGGGAGAUCUGUCUAAAUGGCAGCAAUAUCAACUACGAAAAAUAUUUAUUUAGAGUCUGGGUAGGUACCAAGUUCAAUGAACUGCUUAGAGAGUCUGUGUUGCUUUGGUGACUGUUCUAGGCAGUGCUAAUUUUGCUACAAUUUCCUUUCUUAAGUAAGUCACAACCAGAAUAAAAACAAAGUUCUAGAAAUCCCAUAUUUUUACAAACUGGAUUGAUGAAACCAGUUUUUAAAAUAUCAGAGGACCAGACUGAAAAAGAAACCAGGUGUAGCAAAAGGCAACUCUUCUGGAAACUGAAAAUUCAAAGAAACAUGGUAAUCUCACUGUAUUAAUUUUCUUUUCCUCUUGUAACAAAUUACCACAAGCUUAGUGGCUUAAAACAACACAAAUUUAUAUCCUACAGUUUGUGGAGAAGUAUGAAGUGGGUCUUCCAGGGCUAAAAUCAGUGCUGGUAGAGAGGGGGUACAGAGAAUCUGUUCCUAUUCUUUUCAGCUUCUAGAGAAAGCCUGGGUUCCUUGGCUCAAAGUUUCUUCCAGCAGGGGCAUCUCUCUGACCUCUGUUUCCACUGCCUCAGCUCCUACUCUCACUCGAACCCUCCUGCAUCCCUCUUAUAGGAACCCUUGUGAUUACACUGAGCCUUCUCAAUCAAUGCAGGAUAAUCUUCUAUCUAUCUCAAGACCCGUAAUGUAAUCACAUCUGCAAAGUCCCUUUUGCCAUUUGAGGUAACAAAUCCAUAGGCUCCAAGAAUUAAGAUAUGGACAUCUUUUAGGGGACCAUUCUUCUGACUACCAUACUCCCCUAGCUGAAGAAUUAUUGUGUGAAACAGGGAUAAAGGCAGAACUAAUAUAAAUGAGUCAAAGUGGCCAGGAGGUGAAAUUUGGCUCCAAACAGAAGAAUCUCAAUAAUGAUAAGAGGUGAGUGAAAAAGGACAGGAGCUUUUGAGGAGGAUGUGGGCUCUUUAUCACUAGGGCUGAGCCUCUCUUUCUAAACAUUCACUCCCUCUGCCCAUGUUGGGGUUUUGAUUGCAUGGCAUUUGAGGGUCUUUCCAAUUUUAAGCUUCCAGGUCUUUGAAAAUUUGGAAGGUGUGUCAGUCAGUGUAUAGGCUAGGCUAUGCUGGGUAACAACCAAUCCCCCAAAUCUCAGUGAUUUCAAUCAACACAUCCAUUGUUGGACUGCAUUAGCUCUGGUCGUUGUGGUCCUCUAGGGACUAAAGAGACACCACCACUGCAGACAUAGCUAGCCACAGUGCCAGCAGGAUAGAGAGUUCUGGAGGGUCUAGAAAGAGCAACUGAUACCCUGGUCCACAAGGGUCACACAACACUUACACUAACAGCUCCUCAGUCAGAACUAGUCACAAGUCUCUGGCCAACUAAAAGGAAGACCAGGAUAAAGAGCCAAUCUGGAAGGCAAAGAAACAGAAAUAUUGACGAGUGCAAAUAGUGACUGUGACAGGAAACAAUUGACCCUCUCCAUCAAUCAAUUCACAGAUUUUAGUCAUAAAAGGAGUCAUAAAACUCUUUUGACCCCUAAAGAGUUUUUCUAAACAGGGUGACGGUCAAUCGAUUAUCCUAGGCUCACUGAUGCAACAAGAUUGUCUUAAGCAUGUUCUUCUUUCUUGAUUUUAGCUCCAUGGUUAGGGUUUCACUUUCAAAAGAUUAAUAAUAAGGUGAUAAUGAUGAUGAUAAUGAUGAUGAUGAUGGUAAUGCAUGCUUUUUGAAAAUCACAGUGUACUGAGCAUUGUACUCAGCAUUUUCCACAUUUAUUUUUUGAAUCUCAGGCAUAGAGGCAUGAGUGAAUCACACUUCUGAUUUCAUAGCAUACUUCUAUUGUAAGACUCAUACAAAGACUCUCUCAUGGUGUAUUUUAUUCAUGUGUCCCCUCUCCUCAUUUUAUCAACCAUAAUGUCUUUGAUAUGAUACCUUAAUAUUUUGUAUAUUUUUGCAAAUUGUAUAGUGUUGUUGUUAUGUAGGUAUUUUUAAUUCUAUAAAAGUAUAUUCAUGUAUACUGGUUCUGUUUAUUUCUUCCUUACAUUCGGAUCUUACUGCAUUUAUGAGUAUAUGUCUCACGUAGUUAAUGUCUUAUAACAGUAACGUAAUAUUCCAUACUGUGUGUCCAUUAUAGUUCCCUUAGCUUUUCCCCUGCAAUGGAACAUCUAGGUUGUCUAAUGUUCCCUGAUACUUUAAACCAGGGGUCAGCAAACAUUUUUUAUAAAGAGUGACACAGUAAAUAUAUUUGGCUUUGGGGGUUCUGAAGUCUUGGUUUUAAGGAUUUUGCUGCUGUUAUACCAUAAAAGCAGCCAUAGACAGUGCACAAAUACAUGCCUGUGGACAUAUUUGGCCCAUUGGUCAUAUUUGACAAUCCCUAGUUCAAACACCAUGGUGAUGAAUAUCCUCUAUGUGUUCCCUUAUGAAAUUGGGGCUAGAUGUUCUCUCAAAUAUACUGUACAAACAAGAGUGAGAUUGCAGCAUCAUAAGAUAUGCCCAAACAUCAUUAGACUAAGUAUUUCUGGUUGCAUCAGCCUGUUCUCUUAACAACAGUUAAUAAAAAUAAGAGCCCUCAGAAAUAACGCCGCAUAUCUACAACUAUCUGAUCUUUGACAAACCUGAGAAAAACAAGCAAUGGGGAAAGGAUUCCCUAUUUAAUAAAUGGUGCUGGGAAAACUGGCUAGCCAUAUGUAGAAAGCUGAAACUGGAUCCCUUCCUUACACCUUAUACAAAAAUCAAUUCAAGAUGGAUUAAAGACUUAAACAUUAGACCUAAAACCAUAAAAACCCUAGAAGAAAACCUAGGCAUUACCAUUCAGGACAUAGGCAUGGGCAAGGACUUCAUGUCUAAAACACCAAAAGCAAUGGAAACAAAAGCCAAAAUUGACAAAUGGGAUCUAAUUUAACUAAAGAGCUUCUGCACAGCAAAAGAAACUACCAUCAGAGUGAACAGGCAACCUACAAAAUGGGAGAAAAUUUUCGCAACCUACUCAUCUGACAAAGGGCUAAUAUCCAGACUCUACAAUGAACUCAAACAAAUUUACAAGGAAAAAACAAACAACCCCAUCAAAAAGUGGGUGAAGGACAUGAACAGACACUUCUCAAAAGAAGACAUUUAUGCAGCCAAAAAACACAUGAAAAAAUGCUCACCAUCACUGGCCAUCAGAGAAAUGCAAAUCAAAACCACAAUGAGAUACCAUCUCACACCAGUUAGAAUGGCAAUCAUUAAAAAGUCAGGAAACAACAGGUGCUGGAGAGGAUGUGGAAAAAUAGGAACACUUUUACACUGUUGGUGGGACUGUAAACUAGUUCAACCAUUGUGGAAGUCAGUGUGGUGAUUCCUCAGGGAUCUAGAACUAGAAAUACCAUUUGACCCAGCCAUCCCUUUACUGGGUAUAUACCCAAAGGACUAUAAAUCAUGCUGCUAUAAAGACACAUGCACACGUAUGUUUAUUGCGGCACUAUUCACAAUAGCAAAGACUUGGAACCAACCCAACUGUCCAACAAUGAUAGACUGGAUUAAGAAAAUGUGGCACAUAUACACCAUGGAAUACUAUGCAGCCAUAAAAAAUGAUGAGUUCAUGUCUUUGUAGGGACAUGGAUGAAAUUGGAAAUCAUCAUUCUCAGUAAACUAAACUAUCGCAAGAACAAAAAACCAAACACCGCAUAUUCUCACUCAUAGGUGGGAACUGAACAAUGAGAUCACAUGGACACAGGAAGGGGAACAUCACACUCUGGGGACUGUGGUGGGGUGGGGGGAGGGGGGAGGGAUAGCAUUGGGAGAUAUACCUAAUGCUAGAUGACGAGUUAGUGGGUGCAGCGCACCAGCAUGGCACAUGUAUACAUAAGUAACUAACCUGCACAAUGUGCACAUGUACCCUAAAACUUAAAGUAUAAUAAUAAAAGAAAAAAAAGAAAAUAUUAUGAUCAUCUUCUAUAGAAGGAAAAUUUUAGUAUAAAAUUUAAAGAUGCUUACCACUAAAUAAAUAUAUUCUAUAAAAUUUAAAAAAAUAAAAAAUAAAAAGUAAAAG